CGCCUUUUGAACUAUAAAUAUAAAAGGUCCUGCCUGCCCAGUGACACUUGUUUCAACGGCCGCGGUAUCAUGACCGUGCAAAGGUAGCGUAAUCACUUGUCUUUUAAAUAAAGACCAGUAUGAAUGGCAAGACGAAACCUAACUGUCUCCUUAAGCUAAUCAAUGAAAUUGAUCUUCCCGUGCAGAAGCGGGAAUAAUAAUAUAAGACGAGAAGACCCUGUGGAGCUUCAAAAUUAAACUAACAUAUCAUUAUGCUUUAGUAUACAGUUUUGGGUUGGGGCGACCAUGAGGUAAAACACAACCCUCAAGACGAAAACUAAGAAGGACACUUCAAAUAAAUAACAAUAUAGUAAUUGACCCAACAAUUGAUCAACGAACCAAGUUACCCCAGGGAUAACAGCGCAAUCUACUCAAAGAGCCCUUAUCGACGAGCAGGUUUACGACCUCGAUGUUGGAUCAGGACUUCCAAAUAAUGUAACAAUUAUUAAAGGUUCGUUUGUUCAACGAUUAAAGUCCU
Molecule: ribosomal RNA, 517 nt
Filed under: Pseudoeurycea longicauda (longtail false brook salamander)
Lineage: Eukaryota; Metazoa; Chordata; Amphibia; Caudata; Plethodontidae
Description: partial 16S ribosomal RNA
Rfam family: Bacterial large subunit ribosomal RNA
Source: RNAcentral